This 1976-nucleotide long non-coding RNA is filed under the name Homo sapiens (human). Its description in RNAcentral is "HSALNT0349451". Lineage: Eukaryota; Metazoa; Chordata; Mammalia; Primates; Hominidae. The record is from RNAcentral.
CUCUUUCUUGCUUUGCCUCAUAAUUUUGGACUUACCUAGUAGCUUCUUCUUCUUUUUUUUUUUUUUCCUUUUUCACAUCAGAUGGGAAAUGUGCCAACGUCACAACAAGGUUUGAGGGAGGCACAUCUCAUGCUCGGACAUGAACACCCGAUCAUCAUGCUUAUGAACUACAAAAGGAUCUCCAGUAUGGGCUCACGGCAGGUAAUUGUUUUGAGACUUAUGUCUGAAAUGUUUGUAUCCCACCCAAAUAUUUAAUUGUUAACUUUGAUAGGUGUAGAAUUCUAGGCUAGAAAUAAUUUUUUUCUACAGAAUUCUAAAGUCAUUGUUACAUUAUCUUUUUGCUUCUACUGGGGCUGUUGAGAAAUUCACAGUCAUUUUGGUAUUUUGAGCAAUGAUUUUUACCUUUUUCUGAAAAGUUUUAAAAUUCCCUCUUUUAUGUCUAUUGUUCUGAAAGUUUAAGAUGAUGGAACUUAGUGUGAGUUUAUUUUUAUCUAUUGUACUGAAUAUUUACUGUACCUUUUAAGUCUAGAAACUCAUGCCCUUCAGUACUGAUAAAUUUCUUGGAUUAUUUCUUGUGUCUUUUUUCUUCUAUUUUUCAAGUUCUUUUUCUGAAAUUUUAGUUACUCAGUUGAUGAACUCCUAGAAUGAUUUUCUAUAUUUCUUAUCUUUUAUAUCAUAUCUUCCAUCUUUUUGAUUUUUCAUUCUACUUUCUAAGAGAUUUCCCUAAAUUUAUCUUCUAACUAUUUGACUGAAAUUUUCAUUCUGGCUGUCAAAUUUGAAUUUAUAAUUACUAUCUUGUUUUACAAUUGUUUUCCUUUUGCCAGAAUAUUGUUUUUAUUUAAUAAAUUACAAUAACUUCUCCUAUUUGUCUGAGGAUGUUGAUGAUAGUUUCCUUUUGAAGUUUUUAUUUUCCUGCAGAGUUUUCUAUAAGUUGCUUUUUUUUCCCCCAUAAUAUUUUGGCCUUUACAGUUGGCCCUUGAAUAACAUGAAUUUGAACUGCCUGAGUCUGCUAAUAUGUGGAUUAUCUUCUGCUUCUGCACCCUGAGACAGCAAGACCAACCCUUCCUCUUGCUUCUUUUCCUUAGCCUAUUCAACGUGAAGAUGACUAAGGUUUCCCAGGAUGUACAGAGAAGUCCAGCCUCACCGUAGCACCUGAGCAGUGGGUGGGAAAUAGCUGAGGGACACAUCUCAAUCGAUGAACCAGCACUCCUGAUUCUCUGCAGCCUGCAAACUUCGGGUAAGAGGGGUAAUGGAAUUAGUAGUUCCCAGAUGGCCCUUGGAGGGUGUACUGGGUUGACUCGUGGCCCUCCACAAGAUAUGUCCAAGUCCUAAUCUUUUGUAACUGUGAAUGUGACCUUAUUUGGAAAUAAGUCUUUACAGAUGUAAUUAAGGAUCUUGAAAUAAAAUCAUUCUGAAUUUAGGGUGGGUCCUGUAUCAAAUGAGUAAUGUCUUUAUGAAAAAAAAAAAGAGGGGGAGAUUUGAGGCACAGAGACAAAUCAUUCUGAAUGUAGGGUGGUUCCUGUAUCCAAGCAGUAGUGUCUUUAUGAAAAAAAAAAAAAAAGAGAGAGAGACAGAGGGAGAUUUGAGGCACAGAGACACAGGGAAGAAGGCCAUGUGGAGAUGGAGGCAGACAUUGGAGUGGUGCUGCCACAGCCGGGGAAGGCCAGGAGCUAUCCAAAGAUGGAAGUGACCAGGAAGGAUUCUUCUCCAGGGCCUUUGGAGGAACAGUGGUACUAGCAACACCUUGAUUUUGGACUUCUAGCCUCCAGAACUGUGAAAGAAUACAUUUCUGCUGUUUUCAGCCAUGUAGUUUGUGGUAAUUUGUUAUGACAGCCGUGGGAAAAGAAUCCAGCAGAGAAGAUGUGGGGCCUGAAAUAACUGCUGGGUCAGCAGAGGCCUGGCUUAGUACUGAUUGUACAGAGACAUCUCAGCUGGAGGAAAGGGCAAGAACCACACUUUUCAGCAGCAGGUGCCAG